GGAUCUCUAUCCCUAAUAGGAAGUGAUUUCUAGGCCAAACGGAGAUCCUAAAAUUUUAAAAAUCCUCGACAUGUACGGCCGGGGAUAAUAUUGAUGUCCUAAUCCUCAAUCUGUCCCGAUAAUUAUUUGCUUCUUUUUAAAUUAAUAAAUAUAUAAUAUAAUAUUUUGCUUUUUUUUUUUUCUUUCUCUUUUUUCUUUUUCCAAUUCUUCUAUUUUCUAAGUUGAAAAUGUAAAAAUAGAUUUUUUAAUUCCAGCUAUACAAAUAAAUUUUUUUUGGUCAUACUAAAAGAGGCCCUUGU
RNAcentral lists this long non-coding RNA (299 nucleotides) under Prunus persica (peach). Its description in RNAcentral is "long non-coding RNA (PPER_LNC000709)". Lineage: Eukaryota; Viridiplantae; Streptophyta; Magnoliopsida; Rosales; Rosaceae. The record is from RNAcentral.